UGAUACAGUUAAGUAUUGACAUCAAUCAUUGUUGCCAAUUAUCAAAUUCGUUUUAGCCGGAUAUCAAUGUCACCUUCCUCCAUGUUUGUGUAUAUCUACCGCAUUCAAUUUCUUUCUGAUUGCUACACAUUUUAACUUUUGAUAUAUAAUAUUAUCAAAUUCACCUUCUUCUCUUGAUGAAGGCAGGCUAAAAAAUGGGACAUCUCCAUCACCAUCAUGGUAGUAAUCAUCAUAUUCAUCAUCAAAAGCUCCACAAACUAGGAGGAGGAGAUAGUCCCUAUGAUGAUCCUUUCUUGAAUUCAUGUUGCUGUUUUCUGGCUACCUCAUACAUUUUCAUUGCUUUCCAGAGAUGCAUCCUUUUGCCAUGUUACUCAUUCUUCAAGUGCUUUGGGUGGAAUGACACUGACCCCAGAUAUCAUCAUUACAUCCAUCACUUGGAAAUGGAAUGAUUCUUACUCUCACUUAUCAAUUCCUUGAUGUAAAAGGUCUUUACUUGUUACAUAUUAUGAUUAUGAUUGCUGGAAUAACAUUCUUUUUGAAAAGCAA
This is a non-coding RNA of Cajanus cajan (pigeon pea), 546 nucleotides long. The record is from RefSeq and is a predicted model, not a curated record. NCBI's taxonomy places the organism in Eukaryota, Viridiplantae, Streptophyta, Magnoliopsida, Fabales, Fabaceae.